AUUGAACGCUGGCGGCAGGCCUAACACAUGCAAGUCGAGCGGGGACUUCGGUCCUAGCGGCGAACGGGUGAGUAAUGCUUGGGAAUCUGCCCAGUAGUGGGGGAUAACGUCCCGAAAGGGACGCUAAUACCGCAUACGUCCUACGGGAGAAAGAGGGGGAUCUUCGGACCUCUCGCUAUUGGAUGAGCCCACGUCGGAUUAGCUAGUUGGUAGGGUAAUGGCCUACCAAGGCGACGAUCCGUAGCUGGUCUGAGAGGAUGAUCAGCCACACUGGAACUGAGACACGGUCCAGACUCCUACGGGAGGCAGCAGUGGGGAAUAUUGGACAAUGGGCGAAAGCCUGAUCCAGCCAUGCCGCGUGUGUGAAGAAGGCCUUCGGGUUGUAAAGCACUUUAAGCGGGGAGGAAGGUUCGCGGCCUAAUACGUCGCGGAAUUGACGUUACCCGCAGAAUAAGCACCGGCUAACUCUGUG
RNAcentral lists this ribosomal RNA (472 nucleotides) under uncultured bacterium. Its description in RNAcentral is "partial 16S ribosomal RNA". It matches the Rfam family "Bacterial small subunit ribosomal RNA", at positions 30 to 507 of the family's 1533-position model. The record is from RNAcentral.